GCUCAGGAUGAACGCUAGCUACAGGCUUAACACAUGCAAGUCGAGGGGUAGCAAGGUAGCAAUACCGCUGACGACCGGCGCACGGGUGAGUAACACGUAUCCAACCUUCCCAUAACUCGGGGAUAGCCUUUCGAAAGAAAGAUUAAUACCCGAUAGUACUUUAUUAAGGCAUCUUAAGAAAGUUAAAGAUUUAUUGGUUAUGGAUGGGGAUGCGUUCCAUUAGAUAGUUGGUGAGGUAACGGCUCACCAAGUCUUCGAUGGAUAGGGGUUCUGAGAGGAAGGUCCCCCACAUUGGUACUGAGACACGGACCAAACUCCUACGGGAGGCAGCAGUGAGGAAUAUUGGUCAAUGGGCGAGAGCCUGAACCAGCCAAG
Molecule: ribosomal RNA, 375 nt
Filed under: uncultured Bacteroidales bacterium
Lineage: Bacteria; Pseudomonadati; Bacteroidota; Bacteroidia; Bacteroidales
Description: bacterial SSU rRNA
Rfam family: Bacterial small subunit ribosomal RNA
Source: RNAcentral